RNAcentral lists this ribosomal RNA (857 nucleotides) under uncultured bacterium. RNAcentral describes it as "SSU rRNA". It matches the Rfam family "Bacterial small subunit ribosomal RNA", at positions 524 to 1381 of the family's 1533-position model. The record is from RNAcentral.
UACGGGAGUGGCAAGCGUUAUCCGGAAUUAUUGGGCGUAAAGCGUCCGCAGGCGGUCUUGUAAGUCUGUUGUUAAAGCGUGGAGCUUAACUCCAUUUCAGCAAUGGAAACUGUAAGACUAGAGUGUGGUAGGGGCAGAGGGAAUUCCCGGUGUAGCGGUGAAAUGCGUAGAUAUCGGGAAGAACACCAGUGGCGAAGGCGCUCUGCUGGGCCAUAACUGACGCUCAUGGACGAAAGCCAGGGGAGCGAAAGGGAUUAGAUACCCCUGUAGUCCUGGCCGUAAACGAUGAACACUAGGUGUCGGGGGAAUCGACCCCCUCGGUGUCGUAGCCAACGCGUUAAGUGUUCCGCCUGGGGAGUACGCGCGCAAGUGUGAAACUCAAAGGAAUUGACGGGGGCCCGCACAAGCGGUGGAGUAUGUGGUUUAAUUCGAUGCAACGCGAAGAACCUUACCAGGGUUUGACAUCCUGCGAAUCUUUUGGAAACGAGAGAGUGCCUUCGGGAACGCAGUGACAGGUGGUGCAUGGCUGUCGUCAGCUCGUGUCGUGAGAUGUUGGGUUAAGUCCCGCAACGAGCGCAACCCACGUCGUUAGUUGCCAGCAUUUAGUUGGGCACUCUAGCGAGACCGCCGGUGAUAAACCGGAGGAAGGUGUGGAUGACGUCAAGUCAUCAUGCCCCUUACAUCCUGGGCUACACACGUACUACAAUGCUACGGACAAAGGGCAGCAAACUCGCGAGAGCUAGCAAAUCCCAUAAACCGUGGCUCAGUUCAGAUCGUAGGCUGCAACUCGCCUACGUGAAGGAGGAAUCGCUAGUAAUCGCAGGUCAGCAUACUGCGGUGAAUACGUUCCCGGGCCU